GGGAUUGCUGGCUUCCUCCCAGGAAGCAGGUAGGAGAGAGGCUGUUCUCUCCAGAUAGAGAGUCAAGGAGACUAGGCACUGGGAGUGCAGAAAGGAAGCAGUCAAGGCUGGCUUGGAGCACUGGGAGUGCAGGAGGAAGCAGUCAGGGCAAGGCUGGCUUGGAGCACUGGGAGUGGAGAAAGAAAAGCAACAGGCUAGCUAGCAGAGUGUUGCUAUCUAAUAAGGUUGGUGCAAUAUGUUUUGUUAGUUUAACCCUGAUAGAGAGGGAUAUUCAAAGUGAGUCAGUGCUCAGACGAGCUAGGUUUUUGUUUAAAGGGAAACCUGUUAUAUUU
Molecule: non-coding RNA, 332 nt
Organism: Pelobates cultripes (western spadefoot toad)
Lineage: Eukaryota; Metazoa; Chordata; Amphibia; Anura; Pelobatidae
Source: the annotation of a GenBank genome assembly